This 14775-nucleotide long non-coding RNA is filed under the name Nicotiana tabacum (common tobacco). Its description in RNAcentral is "long non-coding RNA (NTAB_LNC009811)". The record is from RNAcentral. Lineage: Eukaryota; Viridiplantae; Streptophyta; Magnoliopsida; Solanales; Solanaceae.
UGAAUUACGCGGACCUCAGCAGAAUUUCGCGGCCGCGCUUGGAAUUUUGCGGAUCGCAUAAUUCUACCACGGCCGCACUCUGGGGAAAUGUUCUGCAAAUCCAGUGGUACGACUUAGGAAUCCUAUAUCUUUUGAUCUACAAGGAAUUUUGAGAGGAUUCAAAAACGAAAGUUGUUGCCCUUCGUGUCUAGUUUCGAGAAGUCAUCAUUUGGAUAUCUGUAGAGAAAGUUAUGGUCAAAAUACUAAAGUCUGGCAGUGCAGCUACCAAAAGUGCGACCACACUAUUUUUUUUGCGACUACGGGACCUGGGGCGCGGCCGCGCUCGGAAUUUCGUGGACCGCGAAGUGGGAGACCAUAGGUGCACUUUAUAAACGGGAUUUAGGGCAUUAUUUCAUAUUUUGGACCUAGAGAGCUCGGUUUGUGGCAAUUUUUCGUGGAUUUUUCAAGAAAUUCAUCGGGGUAAGUGAUUCUAACUUGAAUUUGGUUAAUAUACAUGAAUAUAUCAAUGAUUUCAUCAUCUGAUAAGUACUUUGAGGUGAAAAUUUGGGAAAAAUUGUAGCAACUUCAUAAAAUGAAUUUUCGGUAUUUGAAUGUCGAUUCAAAGUCGGAUUUGAGUGAAACUAGUAUGGUUGGACUCGUGAGUGAAUGGAUGUUCAUAAUUUGUGACUUUUACCUGAUUCCGAGUCGUGGGCCCGGGGGUCGGGUUUGAGCCAAUUUUGGAAUUUUGGUCUGAAUUGGUAGUUUUUCUUGUGGAAUUUAUUCCAUUAGCAUAUAAUGAUAGUAUUGUACUGAUUGUGAAUAGAUUCGGAGCAUUUGGAGGCCGAGUCGAGAGGCAAGAGCAUCACGGGGUAGAGAUUUGACCGUUUUGAGGUAAGUAACGAUUGUAAAUCUAGUCCUGAGGGUAUGAAACCCCAGAUUUCAUAUCAUUCUACCAUUUUGAGGUGACGCACAUGCUAGGUGACAGGCGUGUGGGCGUGCACCGUUGGGGAUCGUGACUUGGUCCGUCCCGUAGCAACGGUAAAGUUGCAUAUUUAUUUGAAACUAUAUAAUACUUAGAUGUUUUAGAAAGAGUUUCUAUAAAUUGGGGUGAAUACCAUGUUUGGGCCUUGUGCCAGUGUUGUUUGGACCCUUAGGAGCCUUUUCUUACUAUCCUAUCGCUAUUUUCGAUUUAAAAUCUAUACUCAGUCAUGGUUAUACCUGUUUACUGCAUAACUCAAUUUUUCUUACUUUAUUUUGAUGCAUAUAAAUGUUGUUUUGGGCUGAGUACCCUGUUUUUACUGAAAUGCCCGAGUGGCUUGAGAGGUUUAUGACUGAGCGAGGCCGAGAGCCUCAUUUUUGAGGAUAUUUAUGGGAUCGGGCUGCACGUCGCAGCAUGUUUGAUAUAGGCCGAGGGCCUUAGUGAUUUAUGCCAUGAUUUGGCUUGAUAUAGCGCUUGGGCUGAAGGAGCCCCUCCGGAGUCUGUACACACCCCCAGUGAGCGCAGGUACCUACUGAGUGCGAGUGCUAAAUGACUGGGAGGCAGGAUUGAUUGUGAGGUAUUCCCGAGAUGCAUGAGUGAUUGUGAGGUUUGCUCGAGGGGUUGUCUAUGAGUGAUGUUAUGCCCGAGGGGUUGUUUAUGAUUUCAUCAUUUUUUCUUACCUUUGCAUUUGAGCCUUUGUUUGAAACUGUUGAAAAAUAUCUUUAAAUGACUUUUAUUGGAACUAGGUUUUAAACGAGAUGAUUUGAUUCAAACACUAAUUUUUAAAGCAUGUUGUAUUUUACCGAGAUUUCAUGAUAUGAACUUUAUAUGCUUUGUUGCUCGUCACUACUGUUACUUACUGAGUUGGCGUACUCACGUUACUCCCUGUAUCUUGUGUACAGAUCCAGGUGUAGAUGGACACGGUAGCCGUUGUUGAUUAUUCUGGUUGUAAAUUUUCUCGGGGAUAGCAAGGUAGCUGCCUGGUGAUCGUAGCCCUGCUCUUCUCCCUUCUAUCUUCCUUUAGUUGUAUUUAGCUAUUUUUCAGACUAUGUUAGUCUUGAUAUUAUCAGACAAAUUUCAGUAUAUGCUCAUGACUAGUGGCACCCCAAUGUCGGAAAUUUCUUUUUCCGCACUUUUGUUUUGAUUUGAACUCCUUUACGAAGGUUUUUAUGUUAAAUAGACUUGAAAUUACAUUUGAAAUAAAAAAAAUAUCAGUUGUUUGGGAAAUGAGUCAGAUUGCCUAGUUCCACGAUAGGUGUCAUCACGACAAGGUUAGUUUGGGUCGUGACAUUAUCAUUACCUAACCAUAGAAUACACAAUAAAUCCAAUUUGGAGUUCAUUUCUUCGCUUUUAAGUUAUUUUCCCUAACUAUUUCACAAUUUUGAAAUUAAGUGAAAAAAGAAAUCUUACCAUUGCCUUGGCAGAAUCAUCAUCCAGUGGUCUACCAUCCAUACGUUUUGUAUGAGUUAAUAUAAAAAUUUGUACUCGUGUAGGCUCUAUCCCAUUUACAUCCUAAUACAAUAAUGUCAGAUAUGUUGUUUCCAGUAGACCCUCCACGAAAGGGUAGAGAGGCAGGGAGGCUUUAAAAAGGCAGAGAGGUUGUUUCUGGUAGACUCUCGACUCAAAAAGGGGAGAGGGGAGGGGCAAUUACAAGCAAACCAAUCUGACAACCAAAGCAAAAAAAAACUAGCAAUAAGAUGGAGAAUCAAGGUAUGCAGUGGUUGUAAGCGCAAAGCACAAUUAAUGCAUUUAGCAAAGAAAGGCACAAAUGACUCGUGAGACCUAUGUAACCUAGGCUCUGAUACCAACUUGUCACGAUCCAAAACCAACAUGUCGUGAUGACGCCUAUCAUGGUACUAGGCAAGCUGACUACGUAGACAUUUCCAAUACUCUAAAGCUUUGAAAGAUACGAAAGCAGUGAAAAUCAAGGAAACCUUUCAAAAAUAGAGUACGAAAUCAUAAUUCAAUACAAAAUCUCUCCCAAAAUCGGGGCGUCACCGAGUACAUGAGCAUCUACAUAAAGAAAUAGUCUAAUACGUCGUCUAGGUAAAAAAAAAACAUAAAUUGAAAGACAAGGAGGGAGAGUCAAGGUCCGCGAACGCCAAACAGCUACCUCAAUAGUCUCCGAAAAUUCGGACUCCACAACUCAGCAACUGCCGUGACCGGAAGCACCUGGAUCUGCACACGAGGUGCAGGGUGUAGCUUGAGUACAACCAACUGAAUAAGUAACAAAUCUAACCUUUGGGUUGAAAGUUAGUGACGAACUCUUCAGGUACAGUUCAAUAUAGAAAUAACAGUGCAGAAAUAUAGGCAUGCUUUCAAGUUCAACAGUUAAAUUCAAUUCAAGUAAAAAUAGAUCAAUUCUGAAUGAUAUGAGGAGUAUGACCUCUCUACAUCUACAUUACCAAUGCAUAUGCUAUAUGUGAUGCACCACGCUGAAAGUCUCGUGUACGUGACUCUCAAAAUACUCAAUCACUCAGUAUUGUAUAAGGCUAAUCCAGCCCAGGGGAAGAUCCAUCCCCAAAUAUAAAUGAUUCAGACAAGGUCCAUGUCCAGGGAAGAUCCAUCCCUCAUUAUAAUCAACUGCGCUCACUGGGAGUGUGUGCAGACUCAAUAGGGGCUCUUUCAGCCCAAGCGCUAUAAUAAGCCAGAUCCAAGCAUAAAUCGAUAAACAUGCUGCAGCGUGUAGCCCGAUCCCAUAAUUGACACUCUCAAUCAGUCCCUCGGCCUCACUCAGUCAUCAAUCUCUCCAGUCUCUCUCUCUCGGGCUCACAAUACGGUGAAACUAGCCCAAAAAUGAUUAUAUGAUACAACAAUAAAUAACAACGGAGACUGAGAUACGAUAUGCAAUAAUAAAUAUAACUGAGUACAAAAUUUCAAUGUAAUCAAUAAGUCAACAGCAAUCAACCAGGUCACAGUUCGUACGGUGCACGCCCACACACCCGUCACUUGGCAUGUGCGUCACCUCACAACCAACCAUAUAACACAUAACUCGGGGUUUCGAACCCUCAAGGCCAAGUUUAGAAGUGUUACUUACCUCAAUCCAGGAAAAUAUCUACUCCAACACAUAUUUGCCUCGCAAAACGACCUCAUAAUUCCUCGAAUCUAGCCACAAACAAUGCGAUACAAUCAACACAUGCUAAAGGAAUAAAUUCCAUAAUGAAACACUAAGUUAUUAAUCAAAAGUCAAAAAUCGACUCAAAAGCUGGCCCCCAGGCUCAAGUAUCGAAAUUCGAUAAAAAUCACAAAAUCCGAAAGCCCAUUCAACCACGAGUCCAACCAUACCAAAUUAACCACAAUUCGACACUAAAUCACCUCCAAAAUCCCCAAAUCAAACUCUCCAAAUCCCUAACCUCGAACGCUUAAAUUCCACCUUAAAUACACACAAAAUAAGUGGGAAAUGCAAUGGGGAAACAAGAUUAUUGAUAAAAAAUAAGCACAAGGGACUCAAGAAACCCCUCAACACUCCUCUCAUGAUUUGCCCAAACCCGAGUAUGAAAUGUUCAAAAUGAAUAAAACUCGCGAACCCUUGAAUUUAAACAUUCUGCCCAGCCUUUCCGCUUCUACGGCAUCGCAGAAGCGACCAAACUUCCUGUAACGGCCCGGCCGGUCGUUUCUGGAGUUAUAGCCACGUUUCCCCUAUUCCUGCUUCUUUAUGUGUUAUUUAGUUGUAUUGUGUUGUAUCAGGUUGGUUGGUUCGGGUCCGGAGUGGUUUCAGAGUAGAAUGAGACACAUAGUCUCUUAUUUAGAACCUUAAGUUGAAAAGGUCAACUAGAUGUUGACUUAUGUGUAAACGAUCUCAAAUUUGAAUUUUCAUGGUUCCAGUAGCUCCGUUAGGUAAUUUUGGACUUAGGAAUGCGUCCGGAAUGUGAUUUGGAGGUCCGUGGUUGAAUUGGGCUUGAAUUGGCAAAGUUGGAAAUUUGGCGAUUUCGGUCGGUAGUGAAAAAUUUCAUAUCGGGGUCAGAAUGGAAUUUCAGAAGUUGGAGUAGGUUCGUAGUUUCAUUUGUGACGUGUGUGUACAAAAUUUGAGGUCAUUCGGACGUGGUUUGGUUGGUUUCGGCAUCAGUUGCCGAAUUUGGAAAUUUAGAAGUUCUUAGGCUUGAAUCCGAGGGUAAUUUGGUGUUUGGAUGUUGUUUUUAGUGAUUCGAAGGUUUGACUAAGUUUGUAUGUUGAUAUAUGAGUUGUUGGUAUUUUUGGUUUAGGUCCCGAGGGCCUCGGGGUGAUUCCGGGUGGUAAACGGAUUUGUCGAAGUUGAAAAAUGCAGCUGAAGCUGCUGCUUCUGCAAUUUCCGCACCUGCGGGAGGAAGAGUCACAGGUGCGAAGCCGCUGGUGCGCAUGGGAAGUCCGCAGGAGCGGGCAGUGCUGGGCUAGGAAGAAUGCCCAGGUGCGAGUUGGAGGUUGCAUCUGCGAACCCGCAAGUGCGAAACCUGGGGCGCAGAUGCGGAAAGGGGGACGCUGGGCAGGUUUCAUAGAAGCGGAGGAAACGCGCAGGUGCGCCUUCGCAGGCGGGAGAUUUUGGGCCGCAGAUGUGGAACCUGGGCUCCUAAGUGAGUUCCGCACCUACGAUGGAUUUUCCGCAGGUGCGGUGGCACAAAAGCGUGAAAUUUGUCCACAGGUGCGAAAAGCCUUGGCAGAAACCAUAAAUAGAACCCUUCGCGAAUUUGGUUCAUUUCCACCAUUUUAAGUCAAUUUUUGGAGUGAUUUUUGAAUGGUGAUUCAAGGGCUAUUAGUGAGGUAAGUUGCUUGAUCCCUAAUACUCGUAUGUAUGGUGAGUUUUCGUUGUUUAAUCAUGUAAUUAGUAAAAAUGAGGGGUUAGGGCUUGGGAUUUUGGAGAGUUUAAUUUAAGGAUUUGAGGGAACGAACGAUGUCGGAUUUUGACAAAUUUCAUAUGUAUGGACUCGUGAGUGGAUGAGCUUCCUAGUUUAAUAAUUUUUGUCGGAUUUUGAGACGUGGGCCCGGGGGGCCGGUUGAGCCAAUUUCGGGUUUUGGGCUAAUUUGAUAGUUUUUCCAGUGGAAUUCAUUCCAUUAGCGUAUAUUGAUGGUAUUGUACUGAUUGUGAAUAGAUACUGAGCAUUUGGAGGCCGAGUCAAGAGGCAAGAGGAUUGCGGGGUAGAGAUUUGACCGGUUUGAGGUAAGUAACGAUCGUAAAUCUAGUCCUGAGGGUAUGAAACCUCGGAAUUCGUAUCAUUUUACUAUUUUGAGUUGACGCACAUGCUAGGUGACAGAUGUGUGGGCGUGCACCAUUGGGGAUCGUGACUUGGUCCGUCCCGUAGCAACUGUAAAGUUGCAUAUUUAUUUGAAACUAUAUAAUACUUAGAUGUUUUAGAAACAGUUUCUGUAAAUUGGGGUGAAUGCCAUGUUUGGGCCUUGUGCCAGUGUUGUUUGGACCCUUAGGAGCCUUUUCUUACUAUCCUAUCGCUGUUUUCGAUUUAAAAUCUAUACUCAGUCAUGGUUUCACCUGUUUACUGUAUAACUCAGCUUUUCUUACUCUAUUUUGAUGCAUAUAAAUGUUGUUUUGGGCUGAGUACCUUGUUUUUACUAAAAUGCCCGAGUGGCUUGAGACGUUUAUGACUGAGCGAGGCCGAGGGCCUGAUUUGUGAGGAUAUUUAUGGGAUCGGGCUACACGCCGCAUCAUGUUUUAUAUAGGCCGAGGGCCAGAGUGAUUUAUGCCAUGAUUUGGCUUACUAUAGCACUUGGGCUGAAGGAGCCCCUUCGGAGUCUGUACACACCCUAGUGAGCGCAUGUACCUACUGAGUGCGAGUGCCGAGUGUCGAGUGCUGAGUGACUAGGAGGCAUGAGUGAUUCUGAGGUAUGCCCGAGUGGAAUGAGUGAUUGUGAGGUAUGGCUGAGUGGCAUGAGUGACUGUGAGGUAUGCCCGAGAGGCAUGAGUGACUGUGAGGUUUUCCCGAGUGGCAAGAGUGAUUGUGAGGUAUGCCCGAGAGGCAUGAGUGACUGUGAGGUUUUCCCGAGGGGGUGUAUAUGAGUGAUGUUUUGCCCGAGGGGCUGUUUAUGAUUUCAUCAUUUGUUUCUCACCUUUGCAUUUAGCCUCUGUUUGAAAACUGUUGAAAAAUAUCUUUAAAUGAUUUUAUUGGAACUGGGUUUAAACGAGAUGUUUUGAUUUAAAUCCUGAUUUUAAAAGCAUGUGGUAUUUUAUUGAGAUUUUAUGAUAUUAACUUUUUAUUCUUUAUUGCACGUCACUACUACUCAGUCUUUAUUUAUUAUUGUUACUUACGGAGUUGACGUACUCACAUUACUCCUUGCACCUUGUGUGCAGAUCCUGGUGUAGCUGGGCACGGUAGCGGUUGUUGAUUAUUCUGGUGUAGCUGUGCCCGCACUUUUGUUUUGAUUUGAACUCCUUUACGAAGGUAUUUAUGUUAAAUAGUAUUGAAAUCAUCUUUGAAAUGAAGAUAGAAAUGAAUCGUCUUGCCUAGUUCCAUGAUAGGUGCCAUAACGACAGGGGUUAGUUUGGGUAGUGGCAGAUUGGUAUUAGAACCUAGGUUACAUAGGUCUCACUAGUCAUGAGCGGGUUUAGUAGAGUGUUGCGGAUUGGUACGGAGACAUCUGUACGUAUCUUCGAGAGGCUGCAGAACCUUUAGGAAAAUUCCACAUUCUUGAAUUCUUGCCAUGCGAAUCUGAUGAUUCUAGUAACUAAACAACUGUUGUUUCAUUCUCUCACAGAUGGUGAGGACUCGUACUACCGGACAAGAGGGCCAGCCACCAGUACCACCAGCCAGGGCCCCGAGAGGCCGAGGCCGUGGUAGGGGAAGAGAUGCAGCCCGUACAGCAACUGGGGUAGUACGUGCAGAUCCACCAGUUGUCCCAGGUCAGGACCAGGUUCCAGUUGUUGAUGCACCAGCUCAAGCACCACCUGUGCCUAUUGUGAUUCCAGACCCUAAGGAGGCCCUAGAUCAGAUUCUAACAGCGUGUACCGACCUUGCUCAGGCGGUCUCUAUCUCGACGGCCGCAACCACUUCUCAGGCUAGGGGAGGCACUUAGAUUCCCAUCGCUCGUACACCCGGGCAGGUUGUUCAGGGACUUCAGACAUUGGAGGCACCACCAGCCCAGCCGGUUGCAGCUGCACAUGAUUAUGUGGUUCCUGUUAUGCCUGAGGAUGAUCAGCGUAGGUUGGAGAGGUUUGGCAAACUCUAGCCACCACCAUUCAAUGGCAUAGAGAGAUAAGAUGCUCAGGACUUCUUGGACAGGUGUUAGAGGAUACUCCGUACUGCUGGUAUUCUGGAGACUUGUGAGGUCUCAUUCACUACUUUUCAGUUCUCCGGGGCUGCACUCAGAUGGUGGGAGACUUACGAGAGGCGUAGGCCUGUUGGCGUAGCACCCAUUACUUGGCAACAGUUCUCUAUGGUCUUUUUGGAGAAGUUUGUGCCUCGAUCUCGGAGAGAGGAGUUGUGUAGGCAGUUUAAGCGGUUUCGCUAGGGUGAUAUGUCUGUGACACAGUAUGAUAUGCGGUUCUCCGAGUUGGCCCGUCAUGCGAUCUGGUUGGUUCCCACGGACAGGGAGAGGAUCAUGAGGUUUAUUGAUGGUCUCACUUUUCAGCUAUAAUUGCUUAUGACCAGAGAGAGGAUGUCUGGUACUACCUUUGAUGAGGUUGUCGACAUUGCUCGACAGAUUGAGAUGGUUCGCGGUCAGGAAAGGGUUGAGAGGGAGGCAAAGAGGCCUUGUGGACAAGGUAGAUUCAGCGGUGCUCCUUUUGGGGGUCAGUUUCAGCACGGUAGAGGUCGUCAUUUCAGACAGGCUCAGUCAGCUCGACCAUUUCACCGUGGUGCAUCAUCUGGCCAUGGUUCUCAUCAGGGCCACUCAUCACUUAGUACCCUUCCAGCUCAGAGUUCGUCCCGUGCUCCACCAGUUCAGGGCUCCUCUAUGCUAGGUUCUUCUAGUGGUUAUCCCGGUGCUCGGGGCUCCCUUCAGUUCCCGCCACCAGCACCAGGGAGUUGUUUUGAGUGUGGGGAGUUUGGGCAUAUAUAGAGGCAGUGUCCUCAUCAUCAUGGAGGUCUAUCUCAACAGAGGAGUUAGCCUUCAACUUCAGCACCAAUUACUUCAUCACCCGCCUAGCCAAUUCAGGGUGGAGGUCAGUCAGCUAGGGGUCGCCCUAGAGGGAGAGGCAGAUCAGGGGUAGCCGGGCCCGUUUUUAUGCCCUCCCUACUAGAACAGAUGCUAUUGCUUUAGAUGUUGUGAUUACAGGUAUUGUCUCAGUUUGUCAAUGAGAUGCCUCCGUAUUAUUCGACCCUGGUUCCACAUAUUCAUAUGUUUCCUCGAAUUUCACCCAUUUUCUAGUUAUGCCUCGUGAGUCUUUAGUUUCAUUUGUUCAUGUAUCUACUCAUGUGGGCGAUACUGUUGUUGUGGACCGCGUAUAUCAAUCAUGUGUGGUGACUAUUGGGGGUCUAGAGACCCAAGUGGACCUUUUGCUGCUCAAUAUAGUUGAACUUGAUGUGAUAUUGGGUAUGGAUUGGUAAUCUCCAUGUCAUGUUGUUCUAGAUUUUCACGCUAGGACGGUGACGUUGGCUAUACCAGGAAUUCCGAGGGUUGAGUGGAGCGGUUCUGUAGAUUAUGUACCAAGUAGGGUGAUUUCAUAUUUGAAGGCUCAGUGCAUGGUUGAGAAGGGUUGCCUAUCUUAUUUGGCUUUUGUGAGGGAUGUUAGUGCAGAGACUCUUGUCAUUGAUUUUGUUCCGGUGGUAUAUGAUUUUCCGGAUGUGUUUCCUGAAGACCUGCCGGGCAUGCCGCCUGACAGGGAUAUUGACUUCGAUAUCAAUUUGGUGCUGGGCACUCAGCCCAUUUCUAUUCCACCGUAUCAUAUGGCACCGACGGAGUUAAAGGAAUUGAAAGAACAACUUCAGGAACUCCUUGAUAAGGGGUUUAUUCGGCCUAGUGUGUCAUCUUGGGGUGCACCGGUUCUAUUUGUGAAUAAGAAGGAUGGUUCCAUGAGAAUGUGUAUUGAUUAUAGGCAGUUGAAGAAGGUCACAUCCAAGAACAAGUAUCCUUUGCCUUGUAUUGAUGAUUUAUUUGAUCAGCUUCAGGGAGCGAGGGUAUUCUCCAAGAUUGAUUUGAGGUCCGGUUAUCACCAUCUGAAGAUUCGGGAUUCAGAUAUUCUUAAGACAGCAUUCAGGACCCGAUAUGGCCAUUAUGAGUUCUUAGUGAUGUCUUUUGGGUUGACCAAUGCCCCAACAACGUUCAUGCAUUUGAUGAACAAUGUAUUUCAGCCCUAUCUAGACUCAUUCGUUGUUGUAUUCAUUGAUGACAUCCUGGUGUACUCUCGUAGCUAGGAGGAGCACUCUCAGCAUUUGAAGAUUGUAUUACAGAGAUUGAGGGAGGAGAAGCUUUAUGCAAAGCUCUCCAAAUGUGAGUUUUGGCUCGAUUCAGUAGCAUUCUUGGGGCAUGUGGUGUCCAGUGAGGGUAUUCAGGUGGAUCCGAAGAAGAUAGAUGUGGUACAGAGUUGGCCUAGACCGUCCUCAACCACGGAGAUUAUGAGUUUCCUAGGUUUGGCAGGUUAUUACCGCCACUUUAUGGAGGGAUUUUCAUCUAUUGCAUCGACCUUGACCAAAUUGACCCAAAAGGGUGCUUCAUUCAGAUGGUUGGACGAGUGUGAGGAGAGCUUUCAGAAGCUCAAGACUGCUUUGACCACAGCUCCAGUGUUAGUUCUGCCAUCAUCUUUAGGUUCUUACACCGUGUAUUCUGAUGUUAUAGGCAUUGGAUGUGUUUUGAUGCAGGAUGGUAAGGUGAUUGCCUAUGCCUCGCGCUAGUUGAAGACCCAUGAAAAGAACUAUCCUGUCCAUGAUCUUGAGUUGACAGCCAUUAUUCAAGCCUUGAAGAUUUGGCGUCAGUAUUUGUAUGGGGUUCAUUGUGAGAUCUAUACUGAUCACUGGAGUCUGCAACACCUGUUCAAGUAGAAAGUUCUUAAUUUGCGUCAGCGGAGAUGGUUGGUGCUUCUUAAGGACUAUAAGAUCAUUAUUUUGUACCAUCCGGGGAAGGCCAAUGUUGUGGCCGAUGCUUUGAGUCGCCGGGCGGAGAGUUUGGGGAGUUUAGCAUAUCUUCCGGCAGCAGAGAGACCUUUGGCAUUAGAUGUUCAGGCCUUAGCGGGCCAUCUUGUGAGAUUUAAUAUUUCGGAGCCGAGUCGGGUGUUGGCUUGCGUGGUCUCUGGCUCUUCUCUUUUUUACCGUAUUAGGGAGUGUCAGUAUGAUGAUCCCCACUUGCUCGUUCUUCAGGACAGGGUUCGGAGAAGUGAUGCUAGGGAUGUGACUAUUCGAGAGUUGAUUCUUGAGGAGCCCCAUAGCUCGCGGUAUUCCAUCCAUCNNNNNNNNNNNNNNNNNNNNNNNNNAUAUAAUUGGGUUUAUGGCUCGGUGUCUCAACUGUUAGCAAGUUAAGUAUGAACAUUAGAGACCGGGUGGCUUGCUUCAGAGAUUAGAAAUCCUAGAAUGAAAGUGGGAGCGGAUCACCAUGGACUUCGUAGUUGGGCUCCCACGGACUUCGAGGAAGUUCGAUGCUAUUUGGGUGAUUGUGAAUCAGUUGAACAAGUCCGCGCACUUCAUUCCAGUUGGUACUACUUACACUUCAGAGCGAUUGGCUGAGUUUUACAUCCGAGAGAUUGUUCGCCUGCUUGGUGUCCUAGUUUCCAUCAUUUCAGAUAGGUGUACUCAGUUUACAUCGCAGUUUUGGAGGGCCGUGCAGCGAGAGUUGGGUACUUAGGUUGAGUUUAGCACAGCUUUUCAUCCUCAGAUGGACCGGCAGUCCGAGCGCACUAUUCAGAUAUUGGAGGACAUGUUGCGCGCUUGUUUCAUUGACUUUGGGGGUUCAUGGGACCAGUUUCUGCCACUCGCGGAGUUUGCAUAUAACAACAGUUAUUAGUCGAGUAUUCAGAUGGCUCCGUACGAGGCUUUAUAUGGGAGGGGGUAUAGAUCUCUGGUUGGAUGGUUUGAGCUGGGUGAGGCUAGGCUCUUGGGUACAAACUUGGUCCAGGAUGCAUUUGAUAAGGUGAAAUUGAUUCAGGAGCGGCUUCGCACGGCACAGUCUAGGAAGAAGAUUUAUGCGGAUAGGAAGGUCUGUGAUGUAUCUUUCAUGGUGGGGGAGAAGAUUUUGCUGAAGGUAUCACCCAUGAAGGGUGUUAUGAGGUUUGGGAAGAGGGUCAAGUCGAGCCCCCGGUUCAAUGGGCCUUUUGAGGUGCUUCAGAGGAUACGGGAGGUGGCUUAUAAGCUUGCCUUGCCACCCAGCUUGUCGAGUGUGCGCCUAAUUUUUCAUGUUUCCAUGCUCCGGAAGUAUAUUGGAGAUAUGUCUCAUGUUUUGGAUUUCAGCACGGUUUAGUUGGAGGGUGAUAUGACUUAUGAUAUGGAGCCGCUGGCUAUUUUGGAUCGGCAAGUUCGGAAGUUGAGGUCAAAGGAUAUAGCUACGGUGAAGGUGUAGUGGCGAGGUCAGCAUGUGGAGGAGGCCACCUGGGAGACCGAGCAGGAGAUGCGGAGCAGAUAUCCAUGCAUAUUCGAGACUCCAGGUAUGUUUCUAGAUCCGUUCAAGAAUGAACGGUUGUUUAAGAGGGGGAGGAUAUAACGACCCGACCGGUUGUUUCGGGAGUUAUAGUCCCGUUUCCCCCAUUUCUGCUUCUUUAUGUGUUAUUUUAGCUGUUUUGUGUUGUAUCGGGUUGGUUGGUUAGGGUCCGGAGUGGUUUCGGAGUGGAAUGAGACACUUAGUCUCUUAUUUAGAACCUUAAGUUGGAAAAGGCAACCGGAUGUUUUCCUAUGUGUAAACGAUCUCGGGCUUGAAUUCUGAUGGUUCUUUUAGCUCCGUUAGGUGAUUUUGGACUUAGGAGUGCGUCAGGAAUGUGAUUUGGAGGUCCGUAGUAGAAUUAGGCUUGAAUUAGCGAAGUUGGAAAUUUGGCAAUUUCGGUCGGCACUGGAAAAUUUGAUAUCGGGGUCGGAANNNNNNNNNNNNNNNNNNNNNNNNNNNNNNNNNNNNNNNNNNNNNNNNNNNNNNNNNNNNNNNNNNNNNNNNNNNNNNNNNNNNNNNNNNNNNNNNNNNNNNNNNNNNNNNNNNNNNNNNNNGUAUGUUGAUAUAUAAGUUGUUGGUAUUUUUGGUUGAGGUAUCGAGGGCCUCGGGUGGAUUCCGGGUGGUUAACGGAUUUGUCAAAAUUGGAAAAUGCAGUUGAAGUUGCUGCUUCUACUAUUUCCGCACCUGCGGGAGGAAGAGUCGCAUUAGCGAGGCUGCUGGUGCGCAUGGGAAGUCAGCAGGAGCGGGCAGUGCUGGGCUAGGCAGGAUGUGCAGGUGCGAGUUAGAGGUCGCAUCUGCGAGCCCGCAGGUGCGACACCUGGGGCGCAUAUGCGAAAAGGGGGAUGCUGGGCACGCUUCGCAGAAGCGGAGGAAACGCACAGGUGCGCUUUUGCAGGCGCGGGAGUUUGGGCCGCAGAUGCGGAACCUGGGCUCCUAAGUGAGUUCCGCACCUACAAUGGAUUUUCCGCAUGUGCGGUGGUGCGGAAGUGUAAAAUUUGCCCACAAGUGUGAAAAACCUGAGCAGAAACCAUAAAUAGAACCUUUCGCAAAUUUGGUUCAUUUCCAUCAUUCUCUAGUCGGCGUUUGGAGCUUUUGGAGUGAUAUUUGAAGGGUGAUUCAAGGGCUAUCAAUGAGGUAAGUUGCUUGAGCCCUAAUACUCAUAUGUAUGGUGAUUUUCCGUUGUUUAAUCAUGUAAUUAGUAAAAAUGAGGGGUUAGGACUUGGGAUUUUGGAGAGUUUAAUUUAAGGAUUCGAGGGACCAAAUGAUGUCGGAUUUUGAUAAAUUUUGUAUGUAUGGGCUCGUGAGUGGAUGAGCUUCCUAGUUUUAUAAAUUUUGUAAGAUUUUGAGACGUCGGCCCGAGGGGCGGGUUGAGCCAAUUUCGGGUUUUGGGCUAAUUUGAUAGUUUUUCUUGUGGAAUUCAUUCCAUUAGCAUAUAUUGAUGGUAUUGUACUGAUUGUAAAUAGAUUCGGAGCAUUUGGAGGCCGAGUCAAGAGGCAAGAGAAUUGUGGGGUAGAGAUUUGACCGGUUUGAGGUAAGUAACGAUUGUAAAUCUAGUCCUGAGGGUAUGAAACCCCGGAUUUUGUAUCAUGUUACUAUUUUGAAGCGACGCACAUGCUAGGUGAUGGACGUGUGGGUGUGCACUGCUGGAGAUUGUGACUUGGUCCAUCCCGUAGCAAUUGUGAAGUUGCAUAUUUUGUUGAAACUAUAUGAUACUUAUAUGUUUUAGAAAGAGUUUCUGUAAAUUGGGGUGAAUGCCAUGUUUUGGGCCUUGUGUCAGUGCUGUUUGGACUCUUAGGGGCCUUAUCUUACAAUCCUCUCACUAUUUUUGAUUAAAAAUCUAUACCCAGUCAUGGUUAUACUUGUUUGCUGCAUAACUUAGUUUUAUGAAUCUAUUUUGAUGCAUAUAAAUAUUGUUUUGGGUUGAAUGCCCUGUUUUUACUGAAAUGUCCGAGUGGCUUGAGAGGUUUAUGACUGAGUGAGGCCGAGGGCCUGAUUUGUGAGGAUAUUUAUGGGAUCGGGCUGCACGCCGCAGCAUGUUUUAUAUAGGCCGAGGGCCAAAGUGAUUUAUGCCAUGAUUUGGCUUGCUAUAGCGCUUGGGCUGAAGGAGCCCCUCCGGAGUCUGUACACACCCCAGUGAGCGCAGGUACCUACUAAGUGCGAGUGCCGAGUGACUGGGAGGCAUGAGUGAUUGUGAGGUAUGCCCGAGUGGCAUGAGUGAUUGUGAGGUAUGCCCGAGUAGCAUGAGUGAUUGUGAGGUAUGCCCGAGAGGCAUGCGUGACUGUGAGGUUUGCCCGAGGGGCUGUAUAUGAGUGAUGUUUUGCCCGAGGGACUAU